RNAcentral lists this ribosomal RNA (475 nucleotides) under uncultured organism. RNAcentral's name for it is "partial 16S ribosomal RNA". It matches the Rfam family "Bacterial small subunit ribosomal RNA", at positions 331 to 797 of the family's 1533-position model. The record is from RNAcentral.
GUACACUCCUGCGGGAGGCAGCAGUGGGGAAUUUUGGACAAUGGGCGAAAGCCUGAUCCAGCCAUGCCGCGUGCAGGAUGAAGGCCUUCGGGUUGUAAACUGCUUUUGUACGGAACGAAACGGCCUUUUCUAAUAAAGAGGGCUAAUGACGGUACCGUAAGAAUAAGCACCGGCUAACUACGUGCCAGCAGCCGCGGUAAUACGUAGGGUGCAAGCGUUAAUCGGAAUUACUGGGCGUAAAGCGUGCGCAGGCGGUUAUGUAAGACAGUUGUGAAAUCCCCGGGCUCAACCUGGGAACUGCAUCUGUGACUGCAUAGCUAGAGUACGGUAGAGGGGGAUGGAAUUCCGCGUGUAGCAGUGAAAUGCGUAGAUAUGCGGAGGAACACCGAUGGCGAAGGCAAUCCCCUGGACCUGUACUGACGCUCAUGCACGAAAGCGUGGGGAGCAAACAGGAUUAGAAACCCUUGUAGUCCCA